This 608-nucleotide unclassified non-coding RNA is filed under the name Hevea brasiliensis (rubber tree). The record is from RNAcentral. Lineage: Eukaryota; Viridiplantae; Streptophyta; Magnoliopsida; Malpighiales; Euphorbiaceae.
ACUUUAAGAACUUUGGAAAACUACAUAAUUAUAAAUCAACUCAAAUUUUUAAUGUUGUUCUGUCCAUUUGAAAACUCUUUAUUCUCAUAGCUCAUCCUCGAAGAUUCAGUUCAAUCUUCUGUUCAACGAGAUAACUCCAUUAACCUACCACAAGGGUUCAGUUGACAAUGUCAUAAAACCAGAUUCCGCAACAAUGAAUGUUUAUAUGCAAACUGAGGAAACUCGUACCUGUAGUCAUUUAUGCAGAAAAGUGCAAGUGUAAAAUCUUUACAGUAGCAAGUUGAGUAGAAAACUGUUUCCAUAAAUCAACAAAUAACACUUCUCAUACCUGAAAUUCUGGAUUUUCUGGUGAUCAACAGCACCAUUUUGAUUUUCAUUACUGGGGAAGGUGAAAUCGAGUGAUAGUAGAAUAAACAUCCAAAGAAACCACUAGCGCUUAGACGUUUACGAGAAUAUUCUGCAACUAAACCAGCUAAUGUUGAACGGAUGUGUAACUAGACCAAUUGAAAGAGAAACUAGACUACUCCAUAAUUUUGAAGAGUAAAAUCUUCAACAUUAGUAAGUUUAGUAGCAAAAUGCACCCAUUUGUCAACAUCUUCACUCAUUUG